RNAcentral lists this transfer-messenger RNA (387 nucleotides) under Metamycoplasma hyosynoviae. RNAcentral describes it as "Standard tmRNA". It matches the Rfam family "transfer-messenger RNA". Rfam says of the family: Bacterial tmRNA, also known as 10Sa RNA or SsrA, is named for its dual tRNA and mRNA-like properties. The record is from RNAcentral. Lineage: Bacteria; Bacillati; Mycoplasmatota; Mycoplasmoidales; Metamycoplasmataceae.
GGGGGUGUACUGGCUUUGACAGGCAUUUUAGUUUAUUAUAUUGCAGUGGUAUCGCAAACCAUAAUGCGACUAGGCUUUUGUUAAACGCAAAAUCUAAAAACGAAGAUCAACAAAUUGAUCUUAACUUUGUGCUAAAUGCACAAAACAAUGCAAAUCUAGUUUACGCUUAGUUAAAUUAGUUGUUUAUUACCUUGUCGGGUGGUAAUAAACAAAGUACCGACUAGUAUUAUUAGUUUUUUAGUUGCUAGUAGUAUGAAAUUCUAACUAAACUGUAUAUAGUGUUUUGUGAGUUUUUUACAUUAUAUAUCAGUACAAAAAUUUACUAAACUGUAGACAUUGAUAAAUUAGAAUGUGUGGACCGGGGUUCGACUCCCCGCAUCUCCACCA